GAUGUUAAGAACGGCAUUUCGGAGAUGCAGUCCUUGCAAUCUAACCAUGCUAGAGAGUUGAAGAUGCGUGAAUCACUCGAAGCUACUUGCAUCACUCUCAGAAGAGUUUCGUUGCAGAGAAUGAAAAUAUGGCAAAACGGUACAUGGAGUCUUUAAAGAAUCUGGCUAAUUAGGUGCUUGAAGUUAUGCCCUGGACUCAAUUUUCUUGUUUGAGUAGAGAAGGUGGUACUAUAAGGAUGAAAUAAACAUGCUUUGGAUCUACGAUUGAAAGUUGGUUUUAAAUUCUGGCACUCUUUUCAUUCUCUCAGACCUUAUUGUUAACGCAAUGCAGAUUCAAGAAUCUGACAAAGCAAGAAAGAAGUUCUCAAAUGCUAAAUCUCUUUCUUCCUCCCAAUGUUUUGGAGAUCAGAACAAAGCUGUAGAUGUGGCUGCUCAAGCUACUUUGUCAAAGUUUUCAGGUUCAUCUGCCAUCUCCAGUGCUGUUCAUACCCUCGUUUGUGUUUUUCUUCUACUUAUUAUUAUCCUUUAUAAACUGUUUGCAUUGCAUUCAUAUAUAUAUAUAUAUAAUUUUAGGAUUUCCCGAGAGUUCUGAGGCUGGCGAAGCUGAGCAACAAUGGUGCUGUGCUCUUAUGCAAGAACACGGGUUUUUCUUUCUCUUCCCUCAAAUGGAGGAACCUUCUGGGAGGACAUGGUUCAAGCCGUGGUGUUUUUCUUUGUGUUAGUUUCUUAAUCUACAUCUGCUAUUGUGCUUUUAGAUAUUCUCUCUUGUCAAAGUUGGGUUGUCCCAGAAUUGAUGAAAAAUGAGUAAUUGCUUACAAUUAGCCUUUCUAGAUUGUCUUACAAUUCCUGUGCUUUUGAUUGCAGGCAUAUGUGGAAAAGGUUCACAAGGCCUAGUGAAUGCAGUUUAGAAAAUUUAGCCACCUAAUUUGUGGAUUCUAUUUUAGGAAUUGUUAUUUAUUGUCUUAGAUGUGUAUUAUGUUUCCUUACACCCA
Molecule: non-coding RNA, 992 nt
Organism: Arachis ipaensis
Lineage: Eukaryota; Viridiplantae; Streptophyta; Magnoliopsida; Fabales; Fabaceae
Source: RefSeq, a predicted model, not a curated record